ACAUCCUGUACUGGUUAACAGACAAACACGAACAUCUGAAGAAGCAGGACGGGAGUUAGGCUUUGGGGCCUGGGGACCUGAACUCAGUUUUGAUGUUUCCUGCAAGGCGGAACUUGUUCCUGAGAUGACUGAACUCAGGAAGCCACCUCUGACCCGGAGAGACGCUGGUAGUGCUUCUUCACAGAGUGAAACAAGAUGGGAGACGCGUGAGGCACUGUAAGCCUACAGUCGCCUUUUCCGAAACCACCUUAGCAAUUUAGUACUCUUCCUUCUCCUUCUCACUGGUGAGAAUCAUGUGGAAAUGUUACAGGCCCGGUCCCUAUGCCUUCCCCAGCCAAAUGAGACUCGCAUAAUGACGUCUAAGAGAAGACUGAUAUAAGAAGGCGUUAAUGCCCAAGCUGUCUUAAGGUGACACGAUAUGCACCUUCCUGUUUUCCUCACCUUCUACACUGCUCCGGAUACCUCAGACACCUAGCUUUGCCCGCUCUGGUUCCCUUCUGCUGCAUCUCCAGGGUAACAAGGGCAGAAGAAAUGUACAUUUACAUGGAUGCUCCCAUUCCCUGAACAAAUAAUGCUUUAUAUACCCAUAAGCUCUUUCAUUCAUGCACUUGACUACUUUUGAUGCAACAUAAAGUUAGGAACCAGGAACAUGCCAGUGCUUUCUUGUCCUUGGAAAGUCUUCCUACUUCAAGAGGAAACCCUAAGACAAUGCCAACUGGAUAUAGUACGUGGACCAAGUACGUGUGGGUGUCCCUGCAGGCAGAUUUGGAACCGUCCUCUUCAUCUGUAUCCCUCGCCUUCCCAGUCGUCUUCACAGAGCAAGUCGAUGCUGAGACAAAUCAAACCUGAGCUGCUCCCUUCAGACUUCUUCCUGUUCACAGAGGUGUCAGCUCACAUCCUGGGCUCUUAAAAUACAUCUGAAUGCUGGUGCAGAGAAGAACUUCAGCAGGGCUCUUGGCAACUCAGAGGCAACAGCAAUGUACUCCUGGUUUAGAUUAGUUGGUGAGGCAGCCCUUGUCCUGAAAUAAACAUUAUCGACCACCCUCAUUGCUAAUUCAUCAUCCUCCUCUGCCCAGCUGGACCUGGCUUGAAGGGUGACAAGCAAAGCUUCAGGUGGAGAUGGUGGGCUAUUUGGUUUGUGUGAUCAACAGAGGUCUCCAACCUCAGCGGAAUGUGACAGCCACUGAUGACUUCGAAGACAGGUUGGGGUCACUCAGAGAAGAUUGUCCCAGCCUUACUUGGUAGCAACGUUGGAAGCAAGACCAUACAAUGGGAGAACUGGGCUGUAGCUAAUCAAUGGAAUCGACCCAGCUAAAGAAAUAACACGUCCAGCACAAUAAAUGUGGUCAACACAGGAUAGAGCAGUGUCCACAGGGACGAGGGAAUCAUGAGCGCCGGGCUCUGUUCAUCAACAGCGACCGAGCUGUGCAAUCGGAGAGCACUGAUCCCUCCAGGUGUUGCACUUUGGUGGGGGACGAAGCGUCGCCUUCAUUUAACAUUGCAGUCAGGCAGCCAGCCAGCUGCCUCUGCUUGCUCUCAUUCCAGCUCACCCGGCUGUCUUCUGAUGAUAAUUUGACUUCCCACCUAAAUCUCACCACAGGGAGAGAGUGUGCUCCAGGCAGAAGGUGUGUCUGAUCUCGGGGGCUGACUUUGCUUGUCGAUAUAAAUUAAUAAAAAUGGCAUUUUGAUUUACACAUCCCUCUCUUGUGAACUUGGUUAGCACGACAGAGGGCCCGAUAAACUGAUCUUACCUCGGUAUGCUGACAAAACCAAUUUUCCCUGUUUCUGAACCUGAAAGACUCGGGGCCAGACACUGGGCUAUAGUUAAAUCACCAAAGUAAAUUCAGCUUUGAAGCAUCUGGCAGCCAGGCAGCCUGCCUUCUAUUUCCUAUCAAACAUCCCUCUCCUGGCCUUUAUUUUUCAAGGUCAACACCAUGUUCAGUGUCCACUCAGAUUCUGUGGGAACAGACUUGGGAAACGGGGAACUUGUAUGGAUCCAAAGCUAUCCAGCCAAUGUUUUGAC
Molecule: small RNA, 2023 nt
Filed under: Rattus norvegicus (Norway rat)
Lineage: Eukaryota; Metazoa; Chordata; Mammalia; Rodentia; Muridae
Description: uncharacterized LOC103693975
Source: RNAcentral